GGCCUCGAUGGUGUAGUGGUGGUACGCGUUUCCGGUAUUGAUGGAACGCAGGUUCAACUCCUGUCAGAGGUCG
This is a non-coding RNA of Parelaphostrongylus tenuis, 73 nucleotides long. The record is from the annotation of a GenBank genome assembly. NCBI's taxonomy places the organism in Eukaryota, Metazoa, Nematoda, Chromadorea, Rhabditida, Metastrongylidae.